UGCUAGUUGUACGAGUUUAGACUCGUAGCAGAUAGCUCAGUAACACGUGGCCAAACUACCCUAUAGAUCCAGACAACCUCGGGAAACUGAGGCUAAUCUGGAAUAGGGCUCUCAUCCUGGAGUGGAGAGAGCCUGAAACGCUCCGGCGCUAUAGGAUGUGGCUGCGGCCGAUUAGGUAGACGGUGGGGUAACGGCCCACCGUGCCAGUAAUCGGUACGGGUUGUGAGAGCAAGAGCCCGGAGACGGUAUCUGAGACAAGAUACCGGGCCCUACGGGGCGCAGCAGGCGCGAAACCUUUACACUGCACGCCAGUGCGAUAAGGGGACUCCAAGUGCGAGGGCAUAUAGUCCUCGCUUUUUGCGACCGUAAGGUGGUCGCGGAAUAAGUGCUGGGCAAGACCGGUGCCAGCCGCCGCGGUAAUACCGGCAGCACGAGUGAUGACCGCUGUUAUUGGGCCUAAAGCGUCCGUAGCUGGCCGCGCAAGUCUAUCGGGAAAUCUCUCCGCUUAACGGAGAGGCGUCCGGUGGAAACUGUGUGGCUUGGGGACCGGAAGACCAGAGGGGUACGUCUGGGGUAGGAGUGAAAUCCCGUAAUCCUGGACGGACCACCGGUGGCGAAAGCGCCUCUGGAAGACGGAUCCGACGGUGAGGGACGAAAGCUCGGGUCACGAACCGGAUUAGAUACCCGGGUAGUCCGAGCUGUAAACGAUGUCUGCUAGGUGUGACACAGGCUACGAGCCUGUGUUGUGCCGUAGGGAAGCCGUGAAGCAGACCGCCUG
Molecule: ribosomal RNA, 778 nt
Filed under: Natrialba wudunaoensis
Lineage: Archaea; Methanobacteriati; Methanobacteriota; Halobacteria; Halobacteriales; Natrialbaceae
Description: bacterial SSU rRNA
Rfam family: Archaeal small subunit ribosomal RNA
Source: RNAcentral